Molecule: ribosomal RNA, 497 nt
Filed under: uncultured bacterium
Lineage: Bacteria
Description: partial 16S ribosomal RNA
Rfam family: Bacterial small subunit ribosomal RNA
Source: RNAcentral
GACGAACGCUGGCGGCGUGCCUAAUACAUGCAAGUUGAGCGAUGAAGAUUGGUGCUUGCACCAAUUUGAAGAGCAGCGAACGGGUGAGUAACGCGUGGGGAAUCUGCCUUUGAGCGGGGGACAACAUUUGGAAACGAAUGCUAAUACCGCAUAACAACUUUAAACAUAAGUUUUAAGUUUGAAAGAUGCAAUUGCAUCACUCAAAGAUGAUCCCGCGUUGUAUUAGCUAGUUGGUGAGGUAAAGGCUCACCAAGGCGAUGAUACAUAGCCGACCUGAGAGGGUGAUCGGCCACAUUGGGACUGAGACACGGCCCAAACGCCUACGGGAGGCAGCAGUUGGGAAUCUUCGGCAAUGGACGAAAGUCUGACCGAGCAACGCCGCGUGAGUGAAGAAGGUUUUCGGAUCGUAAAACUCUGUUGGUAGAGAAGAACGUUGGUGAGAGUGGAAAGCUCAUCAAGUGACGGUAACUACCCAGAAAGGGACGGCUAACUACGUG